AUUGAACGCUGGCGGCAGGCCUAAUACAUGCAAGUCGAACGAGUGGCGGACGGGUGAGUAAUGUCUGGGAAAAUGCCUGAUGGAGGGGGAUAACUACUGGAAACGGUAGCUAAUAGCGCAUAACAUCCGAUGUGCCCAGAUGGGAUUAGCUAGUUGGUGGGGUAACGGCUCACAAAGGCGACGAUCCCUAGCUGGUCUGCGAGGAUGACCAGCAACACGGGAACUGAGACACGGGCCAGACUCCUACGGGAGGCAGCAGUGGGGAAUAUUGCACAAUGGGCGCAAGCCUGAUGCAGCAACGCCGCGUGUAUGAAGAAGGCCUUCGGGUUGUAAAGUACUUUCAGCGGGGAGGCGUUACCCGCAGAAGAAGCACCGGCUAACUCCGUGCCAGCAGCCGCGGUAAUUC
RNAcentral lists this ribosomal RNA (406 nucleotides) under uncultured bacterium. Its description in RNAcentral is "partial 16S ribosomal RNA". It matches the Rfam family "Bacterial small subunit ribosomal RNA", at positions 30 to 526 of the family's 1533-position model. The record is from RNAcentral.